GGCAAAUGAGAUAGUAAAGACACAUAAUAAUGACUCUUUUCGUAUCCUCUUGUAUGAAUGAAUACGCAGAUCAUCACAUUGUUAAAAAAAAAAAAAAAAAAGAUGAUAUGAUUAGUAGUAGUAGUAGUAGUAGUGAGGUGGAAUAGUGUUAAGGUCGUAUCAAGAAACUUUUGCUUACGCAUAUAUUUUGCUUGUCCGAACAGAUUCAGAGUUUUGUGUCAGCCUCCUCUUUCUUCCUUCUUUCUUCCUUGUGUGACGUUUCUAAGGACACCAAGCGGUAAAUCUCUGCUGCCCCUCUC
This 299-nucleotide long non-coding RNA is filed under the name Capsella rubella. Its description in RNAcentral is "long non-coding RNA (CRUB_LNC003488)". The record is from RNAcentral. Lineage: Eukaryota; Viridiplantae; Streptophyta; Magnoliopsida; Brassicales; Brassicaceae.